RNAcentral lists this ribosomal RNA (411 nucleotides) under Triticum aestivum (bread wheat). RNAcentral's name for it is "partial small subunit ribosomal RNA". The record is from RNAcentral. Lineage: Eukaryota; Viridiplantae; Streptophyta; Magnoliopsida; Poales; Poaceae.
AUGGUGGAUCAGGGCGUCUAUGGACCGCAGACAUACAUUGAGAAGACAGCUUUGCUCCAAGAUCUCGUGGACAUCCAAGACUUGCACGCUGGACCGUGGUUGGUCAUGGGAGACUUCAACCUUUUAGUAAACCCAGAGGACAAGAAUAACAACUUGAUGAACCGGCAAAUGAUGGCAAGUUUCCGUACCAAGUUGAACCUCCUUGAGCUAAAGGAGCUCUACCUCAACGGAAGACGACACACAUGGUCAAAUGAGUGAGCUCGAGCAACCCAAGAAAAGAUUGACCACACUUUCUGUACGAACUCAUGGGAGGACAUGUACCCAACGAGCUUCCUCUUGGCUCUAGGCUCUGCGGUGUCCGACCACUGCCCUAUGGUCCUUGAUCUCAAUGUGGAGCUGACAAUGGGGUGA